Molecule: non-coding RNA, 116 nt
Organism: Pseudomonas oryzihabitans
Lineage: Bacteria; Pseudomonadati; Pseudomonadota; Gammaproteobacteria; Pseudomonadales; Pseudomonadaceae
Source: Rfam
UACAUCAGCGGCGCAGGAUGCGCAGCCCUGAGGUCACGGAUGAAGACCAGGCCAGGAUGGCGCCUGACAGGACGUUGGGAUGGUCGCAACAAACAACCCGCUUCGGCGGGUUUUUU